Molecule: ribosomal RNA, 891 nt
Filed under: uncultured bacterium
Lineage: Bacteria
Description: bacterial SSU rRNA
Rfam family: Bacterial small subunit ribosomal RNA
Source: RNAcentral
AUACUUUUGUUGGGGGGGGGUCGGCUGGCGGCGCGUCUUAGAAUGCAAGUCGAACGGUAGAGUUCCUUCGGGGACUUGAGAGUGGCGAACGGGUGAGUAACACGUAGGUAAUCUAUCGUUAGGUUGGGGAUAGCCUGUGGAAACACAGGGUAAUACCGGAUGAGACCUUGAAGCUGUGGCUUUGAGGGGAAAGGCCCUGAGGGGUCGCCUGAUGAUGAGCCUGCGGUCCAUUAGCUAGUUGGCAGGGUAAGGGCCUACCAAGGCGACGAUGGAUAGCCGGCCUGAGAGGGUGUACGGCCACACUGGGACUGAGACACGGCCCAGACUCCUACGGGAGGCAGCAGCUAAGAAUCUUCCGCAAUGGGCGCAAGCCUGACGGAGCGACGCCGCGUGGACGAUGAAGGCCGGAAGGUUGUAAAGUCCUUUUCCUGGGGAGGAAUAAGGUGGGGAGGGAAUGCCCUACUGAUGACGUGAACCAGGGAAUAAGCCCCGGCUAAUUACGUGCCAGCAGCCGCGGUAACACGUAAGGGGCGAGCGUCGUUCGGAUUUAUUGGGCGUAAAGGGCGUGUAGGCGGUAGUGUAAGUCUGGUGUGAAAGGUCCCGGCUCAACCGGGAACGCGCGCUGGAAACUGUACUACUUGAGUUUAGGAGGGGGAGCUGGAAUUCCUGGUGUAGGGGUGAAAUCUGUAGAGAUCAGGAAGAACACCGGUGGCGAAGGCGAGCUCCUGGCCAUAGACUGACGCUGAGGCGCGAAAGCGUGGGGAGCGAACAGGAUUAGAUACCCUGGUAGUCCACGCUGUAAACGAUGUGCACUAGGUGUCGGGGCGUACGCUUCGGUGCCGGAGCUAACGCGUUAAGUGCACCGCCUGGGGGAGUAUGCUCGCAAGGGUG